RNAcentral lists this ribosomal RNA (498 nucleotides) under uncultured bacterium. RNAcentral describes it as "bacterial SSU rRNA". It matches the Rfam family "Bacterial small subunit ribosomal RNA", at positions 28 to 526 of the family's 1533-position model. The record is from RNAcentral.
GAUGAACGCUAGCGGGAGGCCUAACACAUGCAAGCCGAGCGGUAUUGUUUCUUCGGAAAUGAGAGAGCGGCGUACGGGUGCGUAACACGUGUGCAACCUGCCUUUAUCUGGGGGAUAGCCUUUCGAAAGGAAGAUUAAUACUCCAUAAUAUAUUGAACGGCAUCGUUUAAUAUUGAAAGCUCCGGCGGAUAGAGAUGGGCACGCGCAAGAUUAGCUAGUUGGUGAGGUAACGGCUCACCAAGGCGAUGAUCUUUAGGGGGCCUGAGAGGGUGAUCCCCCACACUGGUACUGAGACACGGACCAGACUCCUACGGGAGGCAGCAGUGAGGAAUAUUGGUCAAUGGGUGCAAGCCUGAACCAGCCAUCCCGCGUGAAGGACGACUGCCCUAUGGGUUGUAAACUUCUUUUGUAUAGGGAUAAACCUACCCUCGAGAGGGUAGCUGAAGGUACUAUACGAAUAAGCACCGGCUAACUCCGUGCCAGCAGCCGCCGUAAAAC